Molecule: ribosomal RNA, 1431 nt
Filed under: Triticum aestivum (bread wheat)
Lineage: Eukaryota; Viridiplantae; Streptophyta; Magnoliopsida; Poales; Poaceae
Description: partial small subunit ribosomal RNA
Source: RNAcentral
AUGCCGCUCUUCCACCUCGCCCCAUGCGCUCGCCCCGCCGCCGGGCGCGCCGCGUCCCGCUUUUCCGGGGCGGUGGUCGCCGCCAGCGGCGCCGGAGGAGCGCGUCCUCCGAAGGCGCCCCCGCGGCGCCCGCGCGGCAAGCCCCGGUUCUCGCGGCAGUCGGCCAUCAAGAAGAGCUUCCAGCAGGAGCAGGUGGUCUUCUCCACCCCCGUGCCCGCCGACCCCACCGUCGCCAUCAUCGGAGGCGGAGCCUCUGGCCUCGCCUGCGCGUCCGCCCUCGCCGCCCGCGGCGUCCGCGCCGUCGUAUUCGACACGGGUAUGCACGGCUUAGGUGGCAGGAUGGCGACCAGGAUGGUCGACGACGGGCGGCGGCUGGUGUUCGACCACGCGGCACAGUUCUUCACCGCGAGCGACCAGAGGUUCCAGGAGCUGGUCGAUGAGUGGGUCGAGAAAGGGUUGGCCCGCGAAUGGAGGGGCUCGAUCGGUGAGCUCGAGGCAGGUGGCCAUUUCACAGCUAUACCUUCCUCGACGCCAAGGUAUAUCGGCGUGAGAGGAAUGCGCCCGCUUGCCGACGCAAUGCUGCCCGAGAAUGACCUGAUUAAAGUUGUAAGGCCUUCCUGGAUAAGCAAGCUUGAGCCGUUCAACGGCCUGUGGCGCUUGUUUGAGAAUGAGAAGCCCCAGGGUCAAUAUGAUGCCGUUGUAAUAGCACACAAUGGGAAAUGUGCAAACCGUCUGCUUUCUACGUCAGGUCUACCCCAACUGACAAGGCAAAUGAAGAGACUGGAGUUGAGUUCUGUCUGGGCACUACUUGCGGCAUUUGAUGAUCCUCUUCCAAUCCCACAAGAUAACUCUUAUGGCACAUUUGAAGGAGCAUUUGUGAGAGAUAUUGAUUCUCUCUCUUGGAUGGCCAACAAUACUCGGAAGCUUUUCCCUUUGGAGACAAACAGGCCCGAGUGCUGGACAUUUUUCAGCACUGCUUCUUAUGGAAAGAAAAACAAAGUUCCACAGGAAAAUAUCCCAAAUGCCACUGCAGAAAAAGUGAAACGAGACAUGCUUGGGGGAGUUGAACUUGCUCUGGGGCUCUCGACAGGAUCUCUUCAGCGACCAUUUUACACAAGAGUACAGUUGUGGGGUGCAGCUUUACCGAUGAACACUCCAGGAGUACCAUGCAUAUUUGAUCCCCAGGGUCGAGCAGGCAUUUGUGGUGACUGGCUCACGGGUUCAAGUAUAGAAGCAGCAGUAUUGAGCGGAAUGUCUCUUGGAGAUCAUGUCGCUGACUACUUUGCGAGCGGUGGGGAACGGCCUGAGGAGUUUGCGAUUGGUCUGGAUGACAGCCUAAACCGAGUAGAAGGUCAUGACAUCGGGCAGUUCCCAGGUUUGGACCCCCAGAAGCCACAGGUAGCUGAACCUCAGCUGGCACCGAGCAUAUGA